Onthophagus taurus is the source of this 584-nucleotide long non-coding RNA. RefSeq lists it as uncharacterized. Lineage: Eukaryota; Metazoa; Arthropoda; Insecta; Coleoptera; Scarabaeidae. The record is from RefSeq and is a predicted model, not a curated record.
CAUGGUUUUGUCAUUAAAAUUAACAAUAUUUUAAAAUUUCUUAUUCUGCUUUUAAAUUUAACUUUGCUAUUCGUUAACAUAACAAAAUUCUAAGAUAUCGUAAGUAUUUUAAAAAACAAUAGUAAAUGCUGCUAAGAAAAUGCUUUAAUUGAAUUUUUGAAAUUUUUCUAUUAAAAGAAUUUAUAUAUAUUACAUGGAACAUAAUAAUCGGUUCAGACUCAACUUGUAUAGACUAAAAACAAUAAGUUAAGCGUUUUCAAAAAUGGCAAAGCUUAUGAUAGCGCUCAUGAUUUUUUCUUGUUUAGCAUUGUUAAUUCGUGCAGAAUUAUGUGCAGAAGACGAAGUAUAUUUGUACUGUGGAACUGCUUGUGAGCCAACUUGUGAAUAUCUAUCUGUUUUCUGUACAUUUCAAUGUGUAGCGGGUUGUUUUUGCAAACCUGGUUUGAUAAGAGAAACUAAUGGUAAAUGCGUCACUCUAGAUAAUUGCGCUUGAGUGGUAACUCUACAACCGGAAAUGAUAAAGAUUACUAAAAAUAUUUAUGUAAUAAUUUAUCGCAAAUAAAAAUUUGAUUUUAAAAAACUUA